UACGUAGGGUGCGAGCGUUAAUCGGAAUUACUGGGCGUAAAGCGUGCGCAGGCGGUCUCGCAAGUCCGAUGUGAAAUCCCCGGGCUCAACCUGGGAACUGCGUUGGAAACUACGGGGCUGGAGUACGGCAGAGGGGGGUGGAAUUCCGCGUGUAGCAGUGAAAUGCGUAGAUAUGCGGAGGAACACCGAUGGCGAAGGCAAUCCCCUGGGCCUGCACUGACGCUCAUGCACGAAAGCGUGGGGAGCAAACAGG
Molecule: ribosomal RNA, 253 nt
Filed under: uncultured bacterium
Lineage: Bacteria
Description: partial 16S ribosomal RNA
Rfam family: Bacterial small subunit ribosomal RNA
Source: RNAcentral